Tympanuchus pallidicinctus (lesser prairie-chicken) is the source of this 815-nucleotide non-coding RNA. NCBI's taxonomy places the organism in Eukaryota, Metazoa, Chordata, Aves, Galliformes, Phasianidae. The record is from the annotation of a RefSeq genome assembly.
CCUCUGUACGAUUGGUAUCUUUCUGACCUCGUGUACCUCUCUCCUCCUGCAUGAAAUCUGUGUGGGAGAAAAUGGAUUUUCUGAGUUUGCUGCCUCUUUUCUUCUCGGCAGUGGCUGUGAGCAGAGCCCAGGUGCAGCAGGAGCCGUUGGCAGAGACAACCGAGGGGGCUGCAGUCAACAUCACCUGCUCACACCCCAACAUACAGAUCGGCUAUUCCAUCUACUGGUACCGUCAGCUACCGGGCCGAGGCCCCGCAUUCCUCGUCAGCGCUGUCAAAGGCUCCAAGGAGGUGCCGGACCCGGAGGGGCAGCUGUGGGUGUCGGCAGACCGCCGCUCCAGCGUUCUGCGUCUCGCCCGGCCCCGGCUCGGGGACGCGGCGCUGUAUUACUGCGCCGUGGGCGCACGGGAAGCGAAGCCGGGGCUGCGGCCGGGCACGAACCGCUUGGGGCGGGGCGGGGGCACAGUGCCGUCCGGGCCCGCAGGGGGCGCUGCCGCUCCUCCCUCCCGGCGCCGCCGAGCUGGCAGUGCUGACAUGGAACGCGUCCCUCGCACCGCUCGGCAUCCUCCGGAGAAAGGCGUUCCAGCUGCACACCCUCAUGAACACGGCAUGUCGAGGUCACAGACACAUCUAAGUGGUCCCACAUGAGCUCUGUUUUCAGACUGUGAAACUGUGUGAGGGGACUGAGUGCCUCUGGAGGUGGCUGUAGAUUCAGCAGAGGCCUCUGUGAGGUGUGUUGGCUGUGAGGGCUUUAACGGGCUUUCAAGUCCCUUCUCAGUUGAAAUGCAAUUAUAAAUAAAAGGGAGAGUGAUAAAC